This is a non-coding RNA of Podarcis lilfordi (Lilford's wall lizard), 69 nucleotides long. Lineage: Eukaryota; Metazoa; Chordata; Lepidosauria; Squamata; Lacertidae. The record is from the annotation of a GenBank genome assembly.
GAAUAGCUCAGUCAGUAGAGCAUGAGACUCUUAAUCUCAGGGUUGUGGGUUCGAGCCCCAUGUUGGGCA